GAAUCAAACAUGAACACAGAGUAUACAUACAGGUGAUGGCUACGAUUCGAUGGAGCCUGAGAUCUGGCUGUUGGAAUUCACGAAGAUGGAAGCAGACACCACCAUAAAGUCAGUCUGAUCGAUGUCGUCACAGUCCCACAUCGAAACUUCGACGUUAUAGACAUGGAGUUUAUAAGAAAGAAGAAAAGAGAAGACAUUGUCCCUUCGGGGACAUCCGAUAAAAUUGGAACGAUACAGAGAAGAUUAGCAUGGCCCCUGCGCAAGGAUGACACGCACAAAUCGAGAAAUGGUCCAAAUUUUUUUCUAUCUUUUUGCUUCGACAAAUUUGCAGCAGAAGAAUCGGAGAGCUAGGGUUUCGUAUACUUUUUUGCCUCAAUUUCUUUGAGAAAUUGGUACAAUCAUCGAAGAGAUGGCCUUUCUUUUUGCAGGAAUGUAUAUGUUGUAUGUAUUUCGCUAUCUCCUUGAUGCCGAUGACUUCAGGGACAUUCUCUUCAUCAACAGCACCUGAUUAGUAACUGUUUACAAUUGAUUCUAAAUUCAUUUUUAUUUUUAUUAUUGUUUUUUCAAAUUUAAGUUUAAUAUCCUCUUCUUCUAGACUUAAAAGCUACUAGUUUUGUUUCAAUUUCGUUUGUCCAGAAUGAGUGACUUUCUAGGGUUUAAACGAGCUUGGAAAAGGACAAAUCACUUCAAAGUUAAACUUUUGUUUCUGACUAAAAGUGGUGAGAUUUGGUCUAUGGAUGGGGUUAAUUGUUUCUGAACUUGGCCUCAUAUUUGGAUUCUAUAAGACCAAAUCUCAUCAUGCCCUAUUGUUAUCUUGGAUAUUUAUUUUCAUUUAUUCGUGUACACAUAUGCUUAUGCAUACCCUGCAUCCCCUCAAGCAUGACGUGUUCACACCACUACUUGGUCUAGUUUAAUUUGGAUCUGUUUGAACUCUAUGGAGUCUCUAUGAUUUCAAUAAAUGUCUAGCUUGAAUCCUGAAGAUGUAGUAGAAUAAACUGUAUACAUGGCAUUUCUUAAGCCCUUCUGGUAUGCUUGUGGGCAAUGUAUCAACAACUAAGGUUGGAGUUGUAUGCCGUGCACAACACAUUUCAAUUACAAGGCACUGAAGGAAAUCAUCAAACGCACCCUUAUUACAUCUCUCUCUUCUCAUGUGAGAAAGCCUUAUAUUGCGCAAAGGCAAGGGGUAGCAUGGCGUAUGAAACCAUCAGCCACAAUUACUUUACAAGCUGGGGGAAACUCAGGCUGAUCCCCGAAAUAUAUAUAUCUUUUCUUGCUAAUCCAAUACAAGGUAAUUGUGUUGGUUAAUUAUAAAGGUUUGUGAUCUGCCUUUGUUUGGGCUAAUGUUUAGGUUGUUUAGGAUUGAGUCCGGAUCAUCUGCCGUCUUUUUCUGCGGCUGUCCCUGCAUGGACCCUUCCUUUUCCUAUACCCAUAAUAGAAUACCGUUCCAUACCUGACCAAACAAGCAAUCCCUCUCUCUUCUUCUAAUUCUGAUUCUUCUGAACUACUUGUAAUAAAGUUUGCAAAGUUGUGUGAUGGAAGUUAAUAAUAUGGGUUUAUUGGGUACUGUUGGUGGGGGUGGAGGAGGGUCAUCUGGGGGUUCGAUAAAUGGUGGGUCUAUGUCGACGGUGUGCAUGGAUGACAACCUCGUCUUGACUUCUGAAGAAUCUUCUUCCUACCCACGCCCAGAUGAGUCUGAGCUCCAAUUGGGUCUUGGCUUGAGCCUUGGUGGUGUUGGUGUUGGUGCUUUGAAGUCUAAAUCAUCAUCCUUGACCCUAAACCCAACACCCCGAUGGGGUCAAUAUGCUAGGAUCUUGACUUCUCAAGACUUCUGUUCGCCCGCCCCGUGCCUUCUCCAUUCGUCGCCUCUCUAUUCGCCUCUCUGAAGAGGGGUUAGGGUUCAAAAGCUCAAAUGGGGCUGAAAAGCAAAAAGAGAGAAGAAAGGGAGAGGAAAAAGAAAAAAAAGGAGGUCCAAAACGACUUCGUUUUGGAUCACCUCAUGGACGGCCGCAGGAAAGCGCGGCAGAUGAUUCGGACUCGUUUAGGAUUUGCCAUAUGCUUUUGUUUUGUUUUCAUUAUUCUUGGAUAUUUGUAUUCAAAUAAAGAAUUUUGCCUUACCUGUGUUUGAUGUUUUCGCAAACAAUCAUACUUAUUUUUGUUUUCCUUUGUGUUUCAGAAAGACUAGUUAUGUAUUCAGGGAGUGGUGCGUAGGGCGGGGGAACAAUAAACAACAAAGAAGUUAUUUUUUAAUUUUUAAAAAUUAUUUCCUUUCCAAAAAGGAGAAAUCCAUAUGAAAUUAAUGAGUUUUUGUUUUUUUCAACCAAAUUAGCUUUUGAAAAUUUUUCAGAAAAUAAAUUCUUAAGUUUCAACCAACAGAAGCCUCCUGCAAUCAACGCCACACCUUCUGGUUUGCUGAUGGAUUUCUUCAGUGAACUUCGGUGUGCAAUAUAUGUGAUGCAAAUGCCAGCUCUGACACCUAAGUUCAAAAUCACAGAACUCGAAGCGUUUGUCUGGCUUUGAACUUUCUGAGUACUUUAGACUUUGUGAUCAAGACGGUUUAUUGUAUGUGUUCAUUAAACGUUGAUGUAUUCUACUAAUUAGGCAAUUUCUAGUUUAUUAGGCAUAAAAAAGUAUGUUUUGUGCUUGGCACAUGCCUAGAAGAACACGUAGUUGUAUCAAUAUGUUGAGUGUGUACGUCUACAAUUGUAUGGGUUGAUUAGGUCCCAUUAUAGAGAAUCAAUUUAGAUUAACUUGGCUUACACUGAAAGAUUUUGAUUGUCUACGAUGAUUGUUUUAUCCAUAUGUUGCUUGCUUAAUAUCAUAAACUGGCUAUUCAUCUU
Non-coding RNA from Camellia sinensis, 2837 nucleotides. The record is from RefSeq and is a predicted model, not a curated record. NCBI's taxonomy places the organism in Eukaryota, Viridiplantae, Streptophyta, Magnoliopsida, Ericales, Theaceae.